GACGAACGCUGGCGGCGUGCUUAACACAUGCAAGUCGAACGGGAUUUAGUAAACAGAAACCUCGGUGGAAGAUUACUAAUGAGAGUGGCGAACGGGUGAGUAACGCGUGAGCAACCUGCCUAUGACAGUGGGAUAGCCUCGGGAAACCGGGAUUAAUACCGCAUAAAAUCGUAGAAACACAUGUUUUAACGGUCAAAGAUUUAUCGGUCAUAGAUGGGCUCGCGUCUGAUUAGCUAGUUGGUGAGAUAACAGCCCACCAAGGCGACGAUCAGUAGCCGGUCUGAGAGGAUGAACGGCCACAUUGGAACUGAGACACGGUCCAAACUCCUACGGGUGGCAGCAGUGGGGAAUAUUGCACAAUGGGGGAAACCCUGAUGCAGCGACGCCGCGUGAACGAAGAAGGUAUUCGUAUCGUAAAGUUCUGUCCUAUGGGAAGAUAAUGACAGUACCAUAGAAGAAAGCUCCGGCUAAAUACGUG
This 478-nucleotide ribosomal RNA is filed under the name uncultured bacterium. RNAcentral's name for it is "partial 16S ribosomal RNA". It matches the Rfam family "Bacterial small subunit ribosomal RNA", at positions 28 to 507 of the family's 1533-position model. The record is from RNAcentral.